AACUUUCAACAACGGAUCUCUAGGCUCUCGCAUCGAUGAAGAACGCAGCGAAAUGCGAUAAGUAAUGUGAAUUGCAGAAUUCAGUGAAUCAUCGAAUCUUUGAACGCACCUUGCGCCCCUUGGUAUUCCGAGGGGCAUGCCUGUUUG
This 147-nucleotide ribosomal RNA is filed under the name Inonotus obliquus. RNAcentral's name for it is "5.8S ribosomal RNA". It matches the Rfam family "5.8S ribosomal RNA". Rfam says of the family: 5.8S ribosomal RNA (5.8S rRNA) is a component of the large subunit of the eukaryotic ribosome. It is transcribed by RNA polymerase I as part of the 45S precursor that also contains 18S and 28S rRNA. Functionally, it is thought that 5.8S rRNA may be involved in ribosome translocation. The record is from RNAcentral. Lineage: Eukaryota; Fungi; Basidiomycota; Agaricomycetes; Hymenochaetales; Hymenochaetaceae.